RNAcentral lists this transfer RNA (77 nucleotides) under Candidatus Saccharimonadota bacterium. RNAcentral's name for it is "tRNA-Met". It matches the Rfam family "tRNA". Rfam says of the family: Transfer RNA (tRNA) molecules are approximately 80 nucleotides in length. Their secondary structure includes four short double-helical elements and three loops (D, anti-codon, and T loops). The record is from RNAcentral. RNAcentral also lists the same sequence under 1 other name. Lineage: Bacteria; Candidatus Saccharimonadota.
CGCGGGGUAGAGCAGCCCGGUAGCUCGUCUGGCCCAUAACCAGAAGGUCGUUGGUUCAAAUCCAACCCCCGCCACCA